GCAAGUCGAGCGGUAACAUUUCAAAGCUUGCUUUGAAGAUGACGAGCGGCGGACGGGUGAGUAAUGCUUGGGAAUAUGCCUUAUGGUGGGGGACAACAGUUGGAAACGACUGCUAAUACCGCAUAACGUCUACGGACCAAAGGGGGGGACCUUCGGGCCUCACGCCAAAAGAUUAGCCCAAGUGGGAUUAGCUAGUUGGUGGGGUAAAGGCCUACCAAGGCGACGAUCUCUAGCUGGUCUGAGAGGAUGAUC
RNAcentral lists this ribosomal RNA (252 nucleotides) under uncultured bacterium. Its description in RNAcentral is "partial 16S ribosomal RNA". It matches the Rfam family "Bacterial small subunit ribosomal RNA", at positions 57 to 305 of the family's 1533-position model. The record is from RNAcentral.